CAGUCGCCGCGGGAAAACGUAGGUGGCAAGCGUUGUCCGGAUUUAUUGGGCGUAAAGCGAGCGCAGGCGGUUCCUUAAGUCUGAUGUGAUAGCCCACGGCUCAACCGUGGAAGGUCAUUGGAAACUGGGGAACUUGAGUGCAGAAGAGGAGAGUGGAAUUCCAUGUGUAGCGGUGAAAUGCGUAGAUAUAUGGAGGAACACCAGUGGCGAAGGCGACUCUCUGGUCUGUAACUGACGCUGAGGCUCGAAAGCGUGGGGAGCAAACAGGAUUAGAGACCCCGGUAGUCCCUGUCUCUUAUAC
Molecule: ribosomal RNA, 301 nt
Filed under: uncultured bacterium
Lineage: Bacteria
Description: partial 16S ribosomal RNA
Rfam family: Bacterial small subunit ribosomal RNA
Source: RNAcentral